RNAcentral lists this ribosomal RNA (432 nucleotides) under uncultured bacterium. RNAcentral's name for it is "bacterial SSU rRNA". It matches the Rfam family "Bacterial small subunit ribosomal RNA", at positions 338 to 784 of the family's 1533-position model. The record is from RNAcentral.
CCUACGGGAGGCAGCAGUGGGGAAUAUUGGGCAAUGGAGGCAACUCUGACCCAGCAACGCCGCGUGAGCGAUGAAGGUCUUCGGAUUGUAAAGCUCUUUAAGCGGGGACGAAGAAAGUGACUGUACCCGCAGAAUAAGCCUCGGCUAACUACGUGCCAGCAGCCGCGGUAAUACGUAGGAGGCAAGCGUUAUCCGGAAUGACUGGGCGUAAAGGGUGCGUAGGUGGUUUGGCAAGUUGGUAGCGUAAUCCCGGGGCUCAACCUCGGUGCUACUACCAAAACUGUUGAACUUGAGUGCAGGAGGGGUGAAUGGAAUUCCCAGUGUAGCGGUGGAAUGCGUAGAUAUUGGGAAGAACACCAGCGGCGAAGGCGAUUCACUGGACUGUAACUGACACUGAGGCACGAAAGCGUGGGGAGCAAACAGGAUUAGAUA